Molecule: ribosomal RNA, 255 nt
Filed under: uncultured bacterium
Lineage: Bacteria
Description: partial 16S ribosomal RNA
Rfam family: Bacterial small subunit ribosomal RNA
Source: RNAcentral
UACGUAGGGUGCGAGCGUUAAUCGGAAUUACUGGGCGUAAAGCGUGCGCAGGCGGUCUGUUAAGACCGAUGUGAAAUCCCCCGGGCUUAACCUGGGAACUGCAUUGGUGACUGGCAGGCUUUGAGUGUGGCAGAGGGAGGUAGAAUUCCACGUGUAGCAGUGAAAUGCGUAGAGAUGUGGAGGAAUACCGAUGGCGAAGGCAGCCUCCUGGGCCAACACUGACGCUCAUGCACGAAGCGUGGGGAGCAAACAGGA